Molecule: non-coding RNA, 73 nt
Organism: Ixodes scapularis (black-legged tick)
Lineage: Eukaryota; Metazoa; Arthropoda; Arachnida; Ixodida; Ixodidae
Source: Rfam
GCUCGGCUCGCGAAGUUAGUAGAGCAUGAGACUCUUAAUCUCAGGGUCGUGGGUUCGGGCCCCACGUUGGGCG